RNAcentral lists this ribosomal RNA (442 nucleotides) under uncultured bacterium. RNAcentral's name for it is "partial 16S ribosomal RNA". It matches the Rfam family "Bacterial small subunit ribosomal RNA", at positions 338 to 795 of the family's 1533-position model. The record is from RNAcentral.
CCUACGGGUGGCAGCAGUGGGGAAUAUUGGGCAAUGGGCGCAAGCCUGACCCAGCAACGCCGCGUGAAGGAAGACGGCUUUCGGGUUGUAAACUUCUUUUAAGAGGGAAGAGCAGAAGACGGUACCUCUUGAAUAAGCCACGGCUAACUACGUGCCAGCAGCCGCGGUAAUACGUAGGUGGCAAGCGUUGUCCGGAUUUACUGGGUGUAAAGGGCGUGUAGCCGGGCUGACAAGUCAGUUGUGAAAUCCGGGGGGUCAACCCCCGAAGUGCAUUUGAAACUGUUGGUCUUGAGUAUCGGAGAGGCAGGCGGAAUGCCUAGUGUAGCGGUGAAAUGCGUAGAUAUUAGGAAGAACACCAGUGGCGAAGGCGGCAUGCUGGACGACAACUGACGGUGAGGCGCGAAAGCGUGGGGAGCGAACAGGAUUAGAUACCCCAGUAGUC